GCACCACAAGAACGCGUGGAGCAUGUGGCUUAAUUUGACUCAACGCGGGAAAUCUUACCGGGUCCGGACACACUGAGGAUUGACAGGCAAUAUCUCAUGGUUAUUAACCCGGUUAUUACAUUUUGUUUAAUCGGUUAUUAAGCAUCGAGUGUUAAAUAUGCUAGUCCUUUCAUGAUUAUGUGAUAGGUGGUGCAUGGCCGUUCUUAGUUCGUGGAGUGAUCUGUCUGCUUAAUUGCGUUUCACUAAGGGCCCAUAAAUUCAAGGUAUGUUAGCUAUCGUCGCUCUAUGGACCCCUUAUACUCGAUUUCGCUUUAAUUAGCGUUAUUUGUUUAAUAAGCGCGCGUCUUUAUUUAAUGAGUUUAAGACACUGCGCAUGCUGUUGGGCUCUGAAAGCAACGAACGUGACCGCAACGUCUUGUUGCCUUAAUAAAGUUGGCUUUUAAUACAAUUCCCCGAAUUCGUAUUUAAACCGCUUACAGAGGCUAUUUAAAACUAGACGGACCGCUGUUUCUUUUCUUAAACCAGAGGAAGGUUGCGGCAAUAACAGGUCUGUGAUGC
This 558-nucleotide ribosomal RNA is filed under the name Neogloboquadrina pachyderma. RNAcentral's name for it is "bacterial SSU rRNA". It matches the Rfam family "Eukaryotic small subunit ribosomal RNA", at positions 1164 to 1470 of the family's 1831-position model. The record is from RNAcentral. Lineage: Eukaryota; Foraminifera; Rotaliida; Globorotaliidae.